GACGAACGCUGGCGGCGUGCUUAACACAUGCAAGUCGAACGGAAAGGCCCUGCUUUUGUGGGGUGCUCGAGUGGCGAACGGGUGAGUAACACGUGAGUAACCUGCCCUUGACUUUGGGAUAACUUCAGGAAACUGGGGCUAAUACCGGAUAGGAGCUCCUGCUGCAUGGUGGGGGUUGGAAAGUUUCGGCGGUUGGGGAUGGACUCGCGGCUUAUCAGCUUGUUGGUGGGGUAGUGGCUUACCAAGGCUUUGACGGGUAGCCGGCCUGUGAGGGUGACCGGCCACAUUGGGACUGAGAUACGGCCCAGACUCCUACGGGAGGCAGCAGUGGGGAAUAUUACACAAUGGGCGGAAGCCUGAUGCAGCAACGCCGCGGGCGGGAUGACGGCCUUCGGGUUGUGAACCGCUUUCGCCUGUGACGAAGCGUGAGUGACGGUAAUGAGUAAAGAAGCACCGGCUAACUACGUG
RNAcentral lists this ribosomal RNA (468 nucleotides) under uncultured bacterium. RNAcentral's name for it is "partial 16S ribosomal RNA". It matches the Rfam family "Bacterial small subunit ribosomal RNA", at positions 28 to 507 of the family's 1533-position model. The record is from RNAcentral.